This 481-nucleotide ribosomal RNA is filed under the name uncultured bacterium. RNAcentral describes it as "partial 16S ribosomal RNA". It matches the Rfam family "Bacterial small subunit ribosomal RNA", at positions 30 to 507 of the family's 1533-position model. The record is from RNAcentral.
AUUGAACGCUGGCGGCAUGCCUUACACAUGCAAGUCGAACGGUAACGGGCCUUCGGGUGCCGACGAGUGGCGCACGGGUGAGUAAUACAUCGGAACGUGCCCGAUCGUGGGGGAUAACGAGGCGAAAGCUUUGCUAAUACCGCAUACGAUCUACGGAUGAAAGCAGGGGACCGCAAGGCCUUGCGCGGACGGAGCGGCCGAUGGCAGAUUAGGUAGUUGGUGGGAUAAAAGCUUACCAAGCCGACGAUCUGUAGCUGGUCUGAGAGGAUGAUCAGCCACACUGGGACUGAGACACGGCCCAGACUCCUACGGGAGGCAGCAGUGGGGAAUUUUGGACAAUGGGCGCAAGCCUGAUCCAGCCAUGCCGCGUGCAGGAUGAAGGCCUCGGGUUGUAAACUGCUUUUGUACGGAACGAAAAGCCUUCUUUUAAUACAGGAGGGUCAUGACGGUACCGUAAGAAUAAGCACCGGCUAACUACGUG